GAGUUUGAUCUUGGCUCAGAACGAACGCUGGCGGCAGGCCUAAAAACAUGCAAGUCGAGCGCCCAGCAAUGGGAGCGGCGGACGGGUGAGUAACACGUGGGAAUGUACCUUUCGGUUCGGAACAACCCAGGGAAACUUGGGCUAAUACUGGAUACGCCCUUACGGGGAAAGAUUUAUCGCCGAAAGAUCAGCCCGCGUUGGAUUAGCUAGUUGGUGAGGUAACGGCCCACCAAGGCGACGAUCCAUAGCUGGUUUGAGAGAACGACCAGCCACACUGGGACUGAGACACGGCCCAGACUCCUACGGGAGGCAGCAGUUGGGAAUCUUGGACAAUGGGGGAAACCCUGAUCCAGCCAUGCCGCGUGAGUGAUGAAGGCCUUC
This 381-nucleotide ribosomal RNA is filed under the name uncultured Alphaproteobacteria bacterium. Its description in RNAcentral is "bacterial SSU rRNA". It matches the Rfam family "Bacterial small subunit ribosomal RNA", at positions 9 to 419 of the family's 1533-position model. Lineage: Bacteria; Pseudomonadati; Pseudomonadota; Alphaproteobacteria. The record is from RNAcentral.